Molecule: ribosomal RNA, 491 nt
Filed under: uncultured bacterium
Lineage: Bacteria
Description: bacterial SSU rRNA
Rfam family: Bacterial small subunit ribosomal RNA
Source: RNAcentral
AACGAACGUUAGCGGCGCGCCUAACACAUGCAAGUCGCACGAGAAGGGGCUUCGGCCCCGGUAAAGUGGCGCACGGGUGAGUAACACGUAGGUAAUCUUCCCUCGAGUGGUGGAUAACCCUCCGAAAGGAGAGCUAAUACAGCAUGAGACCACGGUGUCUUCGGACGCUGAGGUCAAAGCAGGCCUCUACAUGUAAGCUUGCGCUCGAGGAUGAGCCUGCGGCCCAUCAGCUAGUUGGUGAGGUAACGGCCCACCAAGGCUAAGACGGGUAGCUGGUCUGAGAGGAUGAACAGCCACACUGGAACUGACACACGGUCCAGACUCCUACGGGAGGCAGCAGUGGGGAAUCUUGCGCAAUGGACGAAAGUCUGACGCAGCGACGCCGCGUGAGCGAUGAAGGCCUUCGGUUGUAAGCUCUGUGGGAGAGAAGAAUAAGGAUACGCUAACACCGUAUUCGUACGACGGUAGUCUCCUUAGCAAGCACCGGACCG